Molecule: ribosomal RNA, 233 nt
Filed under: uncultured bacterium
Lineage: Bacteria
Description: partial 16S ribosomal RNA
Rfam family: Bacterial small subunit ribosomal RNA
Source: RNAcentral
UACGUAGGGUGCAAGCGUUAAUCGGAAUUACUGGGCGUAAAGCGUGCGCAGGCGGUUAUGUAAGACAGGUGUGAAAUCCCCGGGCUUAACCUGGGAACUGCAUUUGUGACUGCAUAGCUAGAGUACGGUAGAGGGGGAUGGAAUUCCGCGUGUAGCAGUGAAAUGCGUAGAUAUGCGGAGGAACACUGAUGGCGAGGCAAUCCCCUGGACCUGUACUGACGCUCAUGCACGAA